Molecule: long non-coding RNA, 912 nt
Organism: Helianthus annuus (common sunflower)
Lineage: Eukaryota; Viridiplantae; Streptophyta; Magnoliopsida; Asterales; Asteraceae
Exons: 3
Source: RefSeq, a predicted model, not a curated record
UUUUGUAAUUUGCUUCUCCCCAACAGUUAAAAGUUAAAACCUGGAGAAACCUGUGUUAGAGAGAGAGAGAGGGGCCGAUGAUGACGACGGUUCCGCCGGUAUCCAAACCUGCUCGUCGUCGUCAGCAACACACGACGGAGUUUUGAUCAUUGUGGUGGUGGUUGUCUUUGGUAGCCCAGAGUAGGGUCUGUCACGGAAUUAUUGUCAUUGCGGUGGUCUUAGGCGGCGACGGACACGGUUUGUGCCGGAGAGCGAUGAGGCGGUGGUCAAGCGGUUAGGGUUUCGAUCCACUUCCGCUACAUGCAUUUGGUCUAUGAUUCUGUUUUUGGCGUUUGGGUUACUGAGGCAAUGAUGAUUGUGUGGGUGUAAACCGAGUUAAGGAUUGCACCGUGGUGUGGCAUGUUUGAGAGAUGGUAGAUGUUCACCUGCAACCUCCAAUGCAGCCACGGUUAUGUCCUUCAUUUACACCCUCUCUGAGCCUCUGAAUCUAUGCAACGUGAUGGUAUGUAAUGCUCUUUUUAUAUCGGAACUGGUUGCAUUAUACAUAUGUAUUAAUAGCCACACAUUUAUCUGCUGCUAAUUGGAUACUUUUCGCUAAUUCUAAGGAUGGGUUAUUAACUCAGAUUUAGGAAAAUUUUCUACCCUGCAAGACACCGCAUCAGGCAAGUUCUUAAAAAAGUUUAUGUUCUCUUCAUUUGCAAGUUCUUAAAAAAGUUUAUGUUCUCUUCAUUAAUCUUGGAUAUUCAGAUAAAAAAACAUGUUAGAACGCCUUAUUAAAUUAUGAUGUUAUUACGAUAUUCAGUGUGUAUCAUUUAAGAUUGUCACAAAUAGCUCAUUUUGUAAAAAAAAAAAAAAAAAAAUUUAAAAAAAACUCUUUCUAUGCCCAAGGUUAUAUACUAGGUUAUGGAUUAU